UAUGCAACCUACCUUAUACAGGGGAAUAGCCCGAAGAAAUUCGGAUUAAUGCUCCAUGGUUUAUCGAUAUGGCAUCGUAUUGAUAAUAAAGAUUUAUCGGUAUAAGAUGGGCAUGCGUAUCAUUAGCUAGUUGGUGUGGUAACGGCAUACCAAGGCAACGAUGAUUAGGGGUCCUGAGAGGGAGAUCCCCCACACUGGUACUGAGACACGGACCAGACUCCUACGGGAGGCAGCAGUGAGGAAUAUUGGUCAAUGGAGGCCACUCUGAUCCCAGCCAUGCCGCGUGCAGAUGACGGUCCUAUGGAUUGUAAACUGCUUUUGUACAGGAAAGAAACCCUCCCUACGAGUAGGGAYUUGACGGUACUGUAAGAAUAAGGAUCGGCUAACUCCGUGCCAGCAGCCGCGGUAAUACGGAGGAUCCGAGCGUUAUCCGGAAUUAUUGGGUUUAAAGGGUUCGUAGGCGGUCRGAUAAGUCAGUGGUGAAAUUUCUUAGCUUAACUAAGACACGGCCAUUGAUACUGUUUGACUUGAAUAGUAUGGAAGUAACUAGAAUAUGUAGUGUAGCGGUGAAAUGCUUAGAUAUUACAUGGAAUACCAAUUGCGAAGGCAGGUUACUACGUAYUUAUUGACGCUGAUGAACGAAAGCGUGGGGAGCGAACAGGAUUAGAUACCCUGGUAGUCCACGCCGUAAACGAUGGAUACUAGCUGUUCGGUUUUCGGACUGAGUGGCUAAGCGAAAGUGAUAAGUAUCCCACCUGGGGAGUACGUUCGCAAGAAUGAAACUCAAAGGAAUUGACGGGGGCCCGCACAAGCGGUGGAGCAUGUGGUUUAAUUCGAUGAUACGCGAGGAACCUUACCAGGGCUUAAAUGUAGAUUGACAGAUUUGGAAACAGAUUUUUCUUCGGACAAUUUACAAGGUGCUGCAUGGUUGUCGUCAGCUCGUGCCGUGAGGUGUCAGGUUAAGUCCUAUAACGAGCGCAACCCCUAUUGUUAGUUACCAGCGCGUAGUGKCGGGGACUCUAGCAAGACUGCCGGUGCAAACCGUGAGGAAGGUGGGGAUGACGUCAAAUCAUCACGGCCCUUACGUCCUGGGCUACACACGUGCUACAAUGGCAAGUACAGAAAGCAGCUACCUGGCAACAGGAUGCGAAUCUCCAAAGCUUGUCUCAGUUCGGAUUGGAGUCUGCAACUCGACUCUAUGAAGCUGGAAUCGCUAGUAAUCGGAUAUCAGCCAUGAUCCGGUGAAUACGUUCCCGGGCCUUGUACACACCGCCCGUCAAGCCAUGGAAGCUGGGGG
Molecule: ribosomal RNA, 1297 nt
Filed under: Myroides sp. Unisa7
Lineage: Bacteria; Pseudomonadati; Bacteroidota; Flavobacteriia; Flavobacteriales; Flavobacteriaceae
Description: bacterial SSU rRNA
Rfam family: Bacterial small subunit ribosomal RNA
Source: RNAcentral